UGAUUUGUAGCAAUACAGAUUGAUGGCGACCGGCGCACGGGUGAGUAACGCGUAUCCAACCUGCCCACCACUUGGGGAUAACCUUGCGAAAGUAAGACUAAUACCCAAUGACGUCUCUAGAAGACAUCUGAAGGAGAUUAAAGAUUUAUCGGUGAUGGAUGGGGAUGCGUCUGAUUAGCUUGUUGGCGGGGUAACGGCCCACCAAGGCUACGAUCAGUAGGGGUUCUGAGAGGGUGAACGGCCACAUUGGGACUGAGACACGGCCCAAACUCC
This 273-nucleotide ribosomal RNA is filed under the name uncultured bacterium. Its description in RNAcentral is "partial 16S ribosomal RNA". It matches the Rfam family "Bacterial small subunit ribosomal RNA", at positions 70 to 339 of the family's 1533-position model. The record is from RNAcentral.